AACGAACGCUGGCGGCGUGGAUAAGACAUGCAAGUCGAGCGGGCUGUAGCAAUACAGUCAGCGGCGCAAGGGUGCGUAACACGUGGGGAAUCUGCCGAGAAGUGGGGGAUAGCUCGCCGAAAGGCGAAUUAAUACCGCAUGUGACUAGGAGCGACAUCUCUCCGACGUCAAAGCUGGGUUAAACUAGCGCUUCUUGAUGACCCCGCGGCCUAUCAGCUAGUUGGCGAGGUAACGGCUCACCAAGGCAUUGACGGGUAGCUGGUCUCAGAGGACGACCAGCCACACUGGAACUGAGACACGGUCCAGACACCUACGGGUGGCAGCAGUCGAGAAUUUUUCGCAAUGGGGGAAACCCUGACGGAGCGACGCCGCGUGGAGGAUGAAGGUCUUCGGAUUGUAAACUCCUGUCAUUUGAGAACAAGGGUGUGCGAGUCACUACCGCGCACUUGAUAGUAUCAGAAGAGGAAGAGACGGCUAACUCUGUGCCAGCAGCCGCCGUAACAC
RNAcentral lists this ribosomal RNA (504 nucleotides) under uncultured bacterium. RNAcentral's name for it is "bacterial SSU rRNA". It matches the Rfam family "Bacterial small subunit ribosomal RNA", at positions 29 to 526 of the family's 1533-position model. The record is from RNAcentral.